CCUACGGGGGCAGCAGUGGGGAAUAUUGGACAAUGGGGGCAACCCUGAUCCAGCCAUGCCGCGUGUGUGAAGAAGGCCCUCGGGUUGUAAAGCACUUUCAGUGAGGAAGAACGCCUGGUGGUUAAUACCCAUCAGGAAAGACAUCACUCACAGAAGAAGCACCGGCUAACUCCGUGCCAGCAGCCGCGGUAAUACGGAGGGUGCGAGCGUUAAUCGGAAUUACUGGGCGUAAAGCGCGCGUAGGUGGCUUGAUAAGCCGGUUGUGAAAGCCCCGGGCUCAACCUGGGAACGGCAUCCGGAACUGUCAAGCUAGAGUGCAGGAGAGGAAGGUAGAAUUCCCGGUGUAGCGGUGAAAUGCGUAGAGAUCGGGAGGAAUACCAGUGGCGAAGGCGGCCUUCUGGACUGACACUGACACUGAGGUGCGAAAGCGUGGGUAGCAAACAGGAUUAGAUACCCGUGUAGUC
Molecule: ribosomal RNA, 464 nt
Filed under: Vreelandella stevensii
Lineage: Bacteria; Pseudomonadati; Pseudomonadota; Gammaproteobacteria; Oceanospirillales; Halomonadaceae
Description: partial 16S ribosomal RNA
Rfam family: Bacterial small subunit ribosomal RNA
Source: RNAcentral